This 284-nucleotide long non-coding RNA is filed under the name Musa acuminata (dwarf banana). RNAcentral describes it as "long non-coding RNA (MACU_LNC004972)". Lineage: Eukaryota; Viridiplantae; Streptophyta; Magnoliopsida; Zingiberales; Musaceae. The record is from RNAcentral.
UUUCUCCCAUGGUGCCAAUUUUGCUACAGCAGGAUCAACAAUCCAACGACAAAAUACAACUUUAUUUCAAACUGGGUACAGCCCCUUCUCCUUGGAUGUGCAGUCCUGGCAGUAUGCACAGUUCAAAUCUAGGUCGCAGAUAGCUUACAAGAAAGGCAAGUACCAGAGAUAUACCUUUAGCUCGACUGAGUGAUCCCCUUGUGAUGAUGUACAAACUUGCCAAUUAAUCUUUGGUUGUUCUCUGCAGGAGUCUUCAAAGAUGAAUUACCUCCAGAGGACUACUU